This 253-nucleotide ribosomal RNA is filed under the name uncultured bacterium. RNAcentral's name for it is "partial 16S ribosomal RNA". It matches the Rfam family "Bacterial small subunit ribosomal RNA", at positions 524 to 776 of the family's 1533-position model. The record is from RNAcentral.
UACGGAGGUGGCGACCGUUAAUCGGAAUCACUGGGCGUAAAGCGCGCGUAGGCGGUCUGUUAAGUGGGAUGUGAAAUCCCCGGGCUUAACCUGGGAAUUGCAUUUCAAACUGGCCGACUAGAGUACGGUAGAGGGAGGUAGAAUUUCCUGUGUAGCGGUGAAAUGCGUAGAUAUAGGAAGGAAUACCAGUGGCGAAGGCGGCCUCCUGGAUCGAUACUGACGCUGAGGCGCGAAAGCGUGGGGAGCAAACAGG